UUUCGCCCAGUCGGGGUAACAACACCGCGCCCGACACACGUCUUACGGAGCUCGCACCUCGAGUAAACCUUAUCUCUUAUCAAAAUAAAGUAUGAUACAUAAAUUCACCUCACGAGUGUUCUGAUAAGACACUUCAUCCGCGAUAAACGCUUACGAAUCGAGGACUGAUUUCACGUUAAUUUUAGUUAUAAAUCAAUCACAAGACGGUUUGUGUACUUUUAAUUUAAUUUUUGUGUUGAAAAUACACCAUUUACAGGUUUUUUAAGUUGAAAAAAUUGAAUUAUUUAAAAUGAAGUUAAAGGUGCCGGUGUUAGUUUUGCUAGUGACAGCGAGUUCAGUGAGUUGUGCACCAUGUUCCACUGUGGAAAGUUUGGACAUAUCAACAGGUGAGCUUUUUGAGAACGGCACAGUGAUUCAUAAUGGGAUUGAAUACCCCAGUAGUGCCUGGUAUACCGUGGAGGAAGAGGGCCGGGAGGUGCGGCUUGGAUGCCCUUGCAUCGGGAGGACUUGCCUGUGGAAGUGCUGCGCGGAGGGGCACAUGUACUUUAACAAGUCAUGUACAGCAACUGGUAUGGAGGAGGUGAAUCCUUUCCGGCCGACAGUGUUCAAAGGGCGGGAUCCACUGGAUGUGGCUGCGGACCGUCACUUCUUCUACAUGUACAACCGACCCUGCACCGACAGAUACCUCGUAGAUACACUCUCCAGCCGCGACGAGGUGUUCGUACAAGAGAAUGGCACGCUAUACGAGAUAGUGAACAACUUGCACCAAUGGCACCCGGCGCCGACGUUCUGUGUGGAUAUGAUGAUCACCAACUCGACCCUCGCGCCGCGGCUGGUGGCGCUCGUCUGCCACCCGCAAGAAACGGACCAGGACGACAGCUCGGCUCUCUACAUCGCUUACGCUAUUGGUCUGAUGUUGUCAGUGCCGUUCCUCCUGGCGACGUUCCUGGUGUAUGCCUUCAUCCCCGAGCUGCGGAACCUACACGGCAUGUGCUUGAUGGCAUACUGUGCCGGGCUGAUCGUCGCAUACCCGCUCCUGGCAUACCUCAAGAUGCAAGUUGGUGACGUCAAUGUGGAGAUCAGUGGGUGCAUGGCUAUUGCGUUCAUCAUCUACUAUGCGUUCCAGUCAAGUUUCUUCUGGCUCAACGUGAUGUGCUUCGACAUAUGGAGAACUUUCAGUGGGUACCGUGGUGGCAGCAGCAACAAACGCCGGGAGAGGAAGAGGUUUGCCUGGUACGGGCUUUAUGCCUGGGGGGUUCCUCUGGUCCUGACUUCCAUCACCAUUGCCAUGCAGUUCAGUAAUGAUCUGCCUAGCCACAUCAUCCGACCUGGGUUCGGCAGCCGAAGGUGCUGGUUUAUAGAUUGGCUGAGCGAGCUGGUGUACUUCUUCACGCCGGUUUUGACCCUGGUGGUGUGCAAUAUCGUCCUGUUCUCCAUCACCGCGCACCGCAUCCGCUCCAUCCGCCAGGAGACAUCCAUUCUCAAGAGCUCCGAGUCUUCACGGAGUGAUAAGUUAAAGCGAGAUAAACAGAGAUACGCGUUGUACCUGAAGCUGUUCGUGGUGAUGGGCGUGAACUGGAGCGUGGAGGUGAUCAGCUUCGCGGCCGGUGGCUCCAACUGGUACUGGAUCAUCAUAGACCUCUCCAACAUCGCUCUUGGCGUCUUCAUAUUCUUCAUCUUCGUCUGGAAGAACAAAGUGCGCAACUUGGUGCGGAAGAAGUUUGCAAAGUGGCGAGGCGUGCCGAUGGAGGGCACAGGCUUCUCCGACUCAGGUACCGGUCGAUGGGCCACUCGCUCCAGCACUGCGCCCACGGAGAUCACCAGGAUACACUCCUCAGACGACCCUGGGAUGCGCCUCAAGGACAUACGCUAGUCACCGGAUCUAUCAUUUCCAAAGAUUCCAAUGAUGCGACCACAUGACGAGAUAUGCCAAAGAAUUCUCAGAAGUACAACAGUGUGAAGAUAUCCUGCGGUUGUUUUACGUAUUUAUACCUAGUCAAAUACACCGAACGACCUUUUAGGUUUAAAUAGUGUAAGGUUUUGCAUUUAUAAGGAUAAGUAAGGAAUAUAACUAUCUAUACCUACCUAUUCCUAUCUAGGGUCACUAAUGAAGAAGUGCUAGUAAGAGUAAAGGAAAGAGGAUAAAUAUUGAGAGUUAUUGAAGACAGAAGAGACAAGAUGAUUGAACACUUAAUACCUAAGCCACGACGAAUUUAUUAAAAAAAAACAUAGAAGAGAAGAUAGAAGGAAAGAGAGGAAGGGGAAAACCAAGAAGAGCUUACAUGGAACAAAUUAAAGAAAAGGCGAACGUCGUGUCUUAUAAGGAAGUCAAAGAAUUGGCCCUAGAUAGAGAAGAAUGGAGAAUGCUGCACCGACAAGAGCGUGACUCUUAAAUUGAUGAUUGUCUAUCUUUAGAGAAAGAGUGUCAGAAUCAGCAAACUGUGUUUUCUAAUAAGCUGUAAGCUGUGUUUUUUUUCUUCGAAAUACUUGCUGUGAGCCUAACGCUCUAACCACUAGACCACGGAGGCUGCACGAUCUGGAGGUCCGGGUUCGAUUCCCGAUGGGGACAUUGUCGAAAUCACUUUGUGAGACUGUCCUUUGUUUGGUAAGGACUUUUCAGGCUUGAAUCACCUGAUUGUCCGAAAAAGUAAGAUGAUUCCGUGCUUCGGAGGGCACGUUAAGCCGUUGGUCCCGGCUAUUAGCCGUAAAAACACCUCCACCAACCCGCAGUGGAGCAGCGUGGUGGAGUAUGCUCCAUACCCCCUCCGGUUGAUUGAGGGGAGGCCUGUGCCCAGCAGUGGGACGUAUAUAGGCAGUUUAUGUUAUGUGGUGUGUACUGGAAUCAGCACUAGUAGGUAUCAAACUAAACUUAUCAAAUAAAGAAACUAAACUUUAAUAAUUAGGUGAUGAUGAUGUGAUCCAGCCGAUUUCGGCUACGGCGACUGUUUUAACUCUAAGGUUC
This 2962-nucleotide unclassified non-coding RNA is filed under the name Pectinophora gossypiella (pink bollworm). RNAcentral describes it as "g-protein coupled receptor Mth2-like". The record is from RNAcentral. Lineage: Eukaryota; Metazoa; Arthropoda; Insecta; Lepidoptera; Gelechiidae.